UGGGGAAUUUUGGACAAUGGGCGAAAGCCUGAUCCAGCAAUGCCGCGUGUGUGAAGAAGGCCUUCGGGUUGUAAAGCACUUUUGUCCGGAAAGAAAUCCUUGGCUCUAAUACAGUCGGGGGGAUGACGGUACCGGAAGAAUAAGCACCGGCUAACUACGUGCCAGCAGCCGCGGUAAUACGUAGGGUGCAAGCGUUAAUCGGAAUUACUGGGCGUAAAGCGUGCGCAGGCGGUUUGCUAAGACCGAUGUGAAAUCCCCGGGCUCAACCUGGGAACUGCAUUGGUGACUGGCAGGCUAGAGUAUGGCAGAGGGGGGUAGAAUUCCACGUGUAGCAGUGAAAUGCGUAGAGAUGUGGAGGAAUACCGAUGGCGAAGGCAGCCCCCUGGGCCAAUACUGGCGCUCAUGCACGAAAGCGUGGGGAGCAAACAGGAUUAGAUACCCUGGUAGUCCACGCCCUAAACGAUGUCAACUAGUUGUUGGGGAUUCAUUUCCUUAGUAACGUAGCUAACGCGUGAAGUUGACCGCCU
Molecule: ribosomal RNA, 527 nt
Filed under: uncultured bacterium
Lineage: Bacteria
Description: partial 16S ribosomal RNA
Rfam family: Bacterial small subunit ribosomal RNA
Source: RNAcentral